UUAGAAGGACCAAACCUCUAAACUCACUCUUGUCCAUUCUUGAUUUACUUCAUAUAACUCUUUGGUGUGUGUGCUUUUGUGCUAGGGGAUCCUAUAUGAGCCAAGUUGAAGAACCAUUGCCAUGUUCAUCCAAAGUGAAAGAUACAAGAGACAUUGGGGAUCUCCUAAGAGCUUGUUUGAUUAUGUUGAUUGCUUGAGCUUACACUUAUUUUGCUUGCAUAUUCCAAAGGAUGGGAGCUACUUG
Molecule: long non-coding RNA, 244 nt
Filed under: Lathyrus oleraceus (garden pea)
Lineage: Eukaryota; Viridiplantae; Streptophyta; Magnoliopsida; Fabales; Fabaceae
Description: Pisum sativum (pea) long non-coding RNA (PSAT_LNC014110)
Source: RNAcentral